Podarcis lilfordi (Lilford's wall lizard) is the source of this 3111-nucleotide non-coding RNA. The record is from the annotation of a GenBank genome assembly. NCBI's taxonomy places the organism in Eukaryota, Metazoa, Chordata, Lepidosauria, Squamata, Lacertidae.
CUUCUUCUCCCACAAUGCCCCACUGUGCUGUACCAUUUUCCAGGCCAUUGUCGCGUCUCCUCGGCUGCUGCAGAGGCUCAUGGGUUCCCGCCAGGCUGACUCAUUCAAACUGGCCAAACUAUGGCAGCCUAGGGGGCAUGGCUUGGGGAGCGGACCUGAGGGCAGCAGACUUCACUCAGGUCCACUCUUCAUCUAUUUAUUCUGGCCAUUGCUGCACUUAGCAGCCCUGCACUGUCACACUAUGACCGUUCAAACUGGCCAGGCAGCAACAAUUCGGCCAUCUAAGCACUCACAAUAGCUAUGUUUGUGUUCCCCUCAUGAAUCUGCAAAAAUUGGUGAUGAUUUUAUGUCCGUAAGCAUGAUUAUCUUGAAGACAAUACCUCCUUGCGUAUCUAUCUAUACAGAAUCUGAUGCACAUUCUUUCUGGAGGGAAUAGCCAUCAUGGCAGCUGGCUAAUGUGUUUCACAGUCGCCUGCCAUUCAGUAAGUAAGCGAGGUUAUCAAGUACUCAUUUGCUUUCCUUUGACUGUGAGGAACCCCUGGGCUUCCACAAAUGUAAAUUUAAUUUACUUCUGACAUGCCAUUAAAAACAAGGAAGAAAUGAAAGAAUAUGUGAAAUGAGCUUCAGACUUUGCAAAUGUCCCUUUUUAUUAGUUAAUUUCCACAGGGGAUUACUGUACAGAUUUUUAUUUUUUAAAAAGGCUCUUGUUUCCUUACCGUUGGCACGUUUCCUUUGCAGUGAGAGAAAUGUGGGGUGUUUCAAGAGGUGAACGUCUACAUUUAUCACUCUGGUUUCCCAAUUUGUCCUCUGAGGGCGAAUGCUGUAAGUGUGAGGCCUGUAAGGUUUACCUUUUGUCCUUGCUGAGAGAGAAACAAAUUACUAAAUUACUCUUCAGGUUUCCCCUGCUUUGUUAGGUCUCCUGUGUAACAUGAAUGGCUAUGUCACAGGAUAGAUAAAAGGAAAUACUUCUUCAGGCACUGUAUGGUUAAACUAUGGAAGGAAGGAAUCAGUGAUCGUUACCAACAGGGAUGGCUUUCAAAGCAGAUUUUUCAAAGUGGAUUAGACAAAAUCAUGGAGCAGAAGGCCACCAAUGGCUACUAUUCAUUGGCUUCAUCCAGCAGUCUUGCCUUAUGUUCUUAUUACCAAUAUCUGCACUACAAAAUUAUAGUUGUCCUUAUGCAUAUAGGUGUCAGGCGGUUGAGAAACCAACCCCCACAGCAGGUUGCGAGAAAUGGACAAGGAAAAGUCCUUACCAUCUGCUUUUCUUAAAUAUUCACAGAGAGAGGAUUGGGAAUGCAGCCUCUCUGAAUAAUCAGAAUAAAUAACAAGAUGAAAGAUGAAAAAAUAUUUUUAAAUAAUUCCAUUGGCACCUUAAAGAUCAACUAAAUAUAAGCUUUCAAGGUAUGAGCUUUCAUGUGUAAUACACACUUCGUCAGAUACCCUGAAGCAGAGGCCACUUCAACCUUAUAACUGUUGAUGACUGUUAUGGCAGUUGGUUCCACAAAUUAGCUUCAGUAUGUAUAAUGGGACAUGAAUCCAAUAUCUCUAUUCAGACAAGGUCUCUCCAUAGUUUUUAGUUUGGUAUUUAUUAAAACUAAAAUUCUUAAAACUAAAAACUAUGGAGAGACCUAGUCUGAAUAGACUAAAGCUAACUUUGGUCAUCUAUCCCUUUAAAAAUCCCUUGCCCUUCCCUGUGGAACCAACUGCCAUAACAGUCAUCAACAGUUAUAAGGUUGAAGCGACCUCUGCUCCAUUAUUUAAAAAGAUUUAUUUAAAAAGAUUUUUUCAUCUUUCAUCUUGUUAUUUAUUAUGACUGUGACAGAUCAACAGGCUAGCCACCUGAAUCUCUGAAUAAUGACAUUGUCCAGAGGAAAUCUCCAAACCCCUUUCUCCCACCUCCUCAUUCGUCAACAGUACCACUCCCUUUACGGUUUCUGCUUAGCGCCAUCUGUCUCGAAGCUCUUUGCUCUCCUACUUUUAAGGCUCGCUGGGUUCUUGGUAUAUGGUGGGUCUGGAAUGCUUUCCUGCUCCAGCUCUGCCUCUUCUCCCAUUAUUUCACAACUUUCCCCCUCAUCUGCCUCUGAGCUGUGACCUCCCUCAAACCCCUGCUGUAAAUCUAUACUGUCUUCCUCUUCCUCCUCCCUGGAAGGGUCAAGAUGGGGAGGCGGUCUCCACCAUUCCUCCUCUGCCCAGUCCCUAACAAUAGGGCAGGUGUAGGGAAUAUUUCUGCCUUCAGACAUUGCUCAACUACAACUCCCAUAAUUCCUGGACAUUUUAUGAAGGUACAGCCACACAGAGUUUGUGUAGAUGUAUAUGGGUGGGGAGAACAUGUAUCAUUUUUCUACCAGCUCUUUUGCAAAAACCACAUCACAAGCUUUUUAUAAACCGACUAGCCGUUAGAUCUAUCAGUUGCUUGUUACAAACUGAUUAUCUCUAUUCUAUUCAGAUACAUUUUCUCCUAGGCUGCCAUAGAACAUUUUCAGUGAGAAAAAUGUGCUUGUCGUUUUUGCUGGCUGUUAACUGGCUUUUCAAUGAAACCACGACUUCUCUUUCCAGGUGCACAAGAUCCCAGCCAACCAGGGAUCACAGUUUGAUGAUGACUGUAGCCAAUCAGAGUCAACCUUCUGACAAUAUUGCAAAGCCAAUUAAUAAGAUAAUGCUCCCUGCCCUCACUCUAAAUGGGCAAGUAUAUUUGAUCAAUUUUGCAGUCUUCCCUACGCCCAAAAAAGAAUGAAAGUGGGGUGCUUCUUCUGUGAAACAUUUCUCAAAAAGUGUCUCUCAGUGUUAAACCAUCGUUUUUUCCCCAGCUUGUGUUUACAUUUCAUUAUUUUACUUUGCUUAUAGGUUACUCGCCUCACCUUCCUGCUAAUGAUUUGAUAGAUUAGUUUUUCCCCUGGUGAUUAUUAUUUAAUCCUUUCAUUCACAUUAAGUGUUCAGUAAGGAAGAUUGUUGUUCUUUUUUCAGGGCAGGAAGUUAUCCGUAAGAGACAGUUUCUGUGGCAAAACAGGUGGGAGUUGUUUACCUUUUCCUUUUUCUCCAGAUCAGGCUGUAACAUCCUGGAGACAAAUAAUCACUUUGCUUACAGAAUAAACUUGCAUAAUUUCAACCGGC